UACGAAGGGGGCUAGCGUUGUUCGGAAUUACUGGGCGUAAAGCGCCCGUAGGCGGCUUUGUGAGUUAGAGGUGAAAGCCCAGGGCUUAACCCUGGAAUUGCCUUUAAGACUGCAUCGCUAGAAUCGUGGAGAGGUGAGUGGAAUUCCGAGUGUAGAGGUGAAAUUCGUAGAUAUUCGGAAGAACACCAGUGGCGAAGGCGACUCACUGGACACGUAUUGACGCUGAGGUGCGAAAGCGUGGGGAGCAGACAGG
RNAcentral lists this ribosomal RNA (253 nucleotides) under uncultured bacterium. RNAcentral describes it as "partial 16S ribosomal RNA". It matches the Rfam family "Bacterial small subunit ribosomal RNA", at positions 524 to 776 of the family's 1533-position model. The record is from RNAcentral.